CCCACGCAAUGCAGAUUGGAAUAAUAUUAUUAGCAAAAUGUAUACAAGUUAAGUGCAUCGCAUAAGAACCAACUAGGUUCCCGAGUGAAACAGGCGCCUAUGCCCACUCGCAACGAUCAACAAAGGGCCACCUAGGCUCACGGAUGAAACAGGCGCCUAUGCCCAUCCGCAACG
This is a long non-coding RNA of Drosophila sechellia, 174 nucleotides long. RefSeq lists it as uncharacterized. Lineage: Eukaryota; Metazoa; Arthropoda; Insecta; Diptera; Drosophilidae. The transcript is spliced from 2 exons. The record is from RefSeq and is a predicted model, not a curated record.